CCUACGGGAGGCAGCAGUAAGGAAUAUUGGUCAAUGGGCGCAAGCCUGAACCAGCCAUGCCGCGUGCAGGAAGACGGCCCUAUGGGUUGUAAACUGCUUUUGAACAAGAGAAAACCUCGGUACGUGUACCGAGCUGAUAGUAUUGUUAGAAUAAGCAUCGGCUAACUUCGUGCCAGCAGCCGCGGUAAGACGAAGGAUGCAAGCGUUAUCCGGAUUCAUUGGGUUUAAAGGGUGCGUAGGCGGCCUGAUAAGUCAGUGGUGAAAUCUCUCAGCUUAACUGAGAAACUGCCAUUGAUACUGUCGGGCUUGAGUACAGAUGAUGUGGGCGGAAUAUGACAUGUAGUGGUGAAAUACUUAGAUAUGUCAUAGAACACCGAUUGCGAAGGCAGCUCACAAAACUGUAACUGACGCUGAGGCACGAAAGUGCGGGGGAUCAAACAGGAUUAGAUACCCUGGUAGUCCGCACCGUAAACGAUGAUUACUCGUUGUUGGCAUAUGACCGUCAGCGACCAAGCGAAAGCGANANANACACGNGGNGAGCGCGACGAGAGUAAGUAGAGUAGAGCGNGAGAGNGCGACGGACGACGACGAGGGAGGAGG
Molecule: ribosomal RNA, 600 nt
Filed under: uncultured bacterium
Lineage: Bacteria
Description: bacterial SSU rRNA
Rfam family: Bacterial small subunit ribosomal RNA (bases 1-533)
Source: RNAcentral